AGACCCGAAACCCGGUGAUCUAGCCAUGGGCAGGUUGAAGGUUGGGUAACACUAACUGGAGGACCGAACCGACUAAUGUUGAAAAAUUAGCGGAUGACCUGUGGCUGGGGGUGAAAGGCCAAUCAAACCGGGAGAUAGCUGGUUCUCCCCGAAAGCUAUUUAGGUAGCGCCUCGUGAAUUCAUCUCCGGGGGUAGAGCACUGUUUCGGCUAGGGGGCCAUCCCGGCUUACCAACCCGAUGCAAACUGCGAAUACCGGAGAAUGUUAUCACGGGAGACACACGGCGGGUGCUAACGUCCGUCGUGAAGAGGGAAACAACCCAGACCGCCAGCUAAGGUCCCAAAGUCAUGGUUAAGUGGGAAACGAUGUGGGAAGGCCCAGACAGCCAGGAUGUUGGCUUAGAAGCAGCCAUCAUUUAAAGAAAGCGUAAUAGCUCACUGGUCGAGUCGGCCUGCGCGGAAGAUGUAACGGGGCUAAACCAUGCACCGAAGCUGCGGCAGCGACACUCAGGUGUUGUUGGGUAGGGGAGCGUUCUGUAAGCCUGUGAAGGUGGCCUGUGAGGGUUGCUGGAGGUAUCAGAAGUGCGAAUGCUGACAUAAGUAACGAUAAAGCGGGUGAAAAGCCCGCUCGCCGGAAGACCAAGGGUUCCUGUCCAACGUUAAUCGGGGCAGGGUGAGUCGACCCCUAAGGCGAGGCCGAAAGGCGUAGUCGAUGGGAAACGGGUUAAUAUUCCCGUACUUGGUGUUACUGCGAAGGGGGGACGGAGAAGGCUAUGUUGGCCGGGCGACGGUUGUCCCGGUUUAAGCGUGUAGGCUGGUUUUCCAGGCAAAUCCGGAAAAUCAAGGCUGAGGCGUGACGACGAGGCACUACGGUGCUGAAGCAACAAAUGCCCUGCUUCCAGGAAAAGCCUCUAAGCAUCAGGUAACAUCAAAUCGUACCCCAAACCGACACAGGUGGUCAGGUAGAGAAUACCAAGGCGCUUGAGAGAACUCGGGUGAAGGAACUAGGCAAAAUGGUGCCGUAACUUCGGGAGAAGGCACGCUGACACGUAGGUGAAGUGAUUUACUCACGGAGCUGAAGUCAGUCGAAGAUACCAGCUGGCUGCAACUGUUUAUUAAAAACACAGCACUGUGCAAACACGAAAGUGGACGUAUACGGUGUGACGCCUGCCCGGUGCCGGAAGGUUAAUUGAUGGGGUCAGCGCAAGCGAAGCUCCUGAUCGAAGCCCCGGUAAACGGCGGCCGUAACUAUAACGGUCCUAAGGUAGCGAAAUUCCUUGUCGGGUAAGUUCCGACCUGCACGAAUGGCGUAAUGAUGGCCAGGCUGUCUCCACCCGAGACUCAGUGAAAUUGAACUCGCUGUGAAGAUGCAGUGUACCCGCGGCAAGACGGAAAGACCCCGUGAACCUUUACUAUAGCUUGACACUGAACAUUGAGCCUUGAUGUGUAGGAUAGGUGGGAGGCUUUGAAGUGUGGACGCCAGUCUGCAUGGAGCCGGCCUUGAAAUACCACCCUUUAAUGUUUGAUGUUCUAACGUGGACCCGUGAUCCGGGUUGCGGACAGUGUCUGGUGGGUAGUUUGACUGGGGCGGUCUCCUCCUAAAGAGUAACGGAGGAGCACGAAGGUUGGCUAAUCCUGGUCGGACAUCAGGAGGUUAGUGCAAUGGCAUAAGCCAGCUUGACUGCGAGCGUGACGGCGCGAGCAGGUGCGAAAGCAGGUCAUAGUGAUCCGGUGGUUCUGAAUGGAAGGGCCAUCGCUCAACGGAUAAAAGGUACUCCGGGGAUAACAGGCUGAUACCGCCCAAGAGUUCAUAUCGACGGCGGUGUUUGGCACCUCGAUGUCGGCUCAUCACAUCCUGGGGCUGAAGUAGGUCCCAAGGGUAUGGCUGUUCGCCAUUUAAAGUGGUACGCGAGCUGGGUUUAGAACGUCGUGAGACAGUUCGGUCCCUAUCUGCCGUGGGCGCUGGAGAACUGAGGGGGGCUGCUCCUAGUACGAGAGGACCGGAGUGGACGCAUCACUGGUGUUCGGGUUGUCAUGCCAAUGGCACUGCCCGGUAGCUAAAUGCGGAAGAGAUAAGUGCUGAAAGCAUCUAAGCACGAAACUUGCCCCGAGA
Molecule: ribosomal RNA, 2111 nt
Filed under: Salmonella enterica
Lineage: Bacteria; Pseudomonadati; Pseudomonadota; Gammaproteobacteria; Enterobacterales; Enterobacteriaceae
Description: partial 23S ribosomal RNA
Rfam family: Bacterial large subunit ribosomal RNA
Source: RNAcentral